This 497-nucleotide ribosomal RNA is filed under the name uncultured bacterium. Its description in RNAcentral is "partial 16S ribosomal RNA". It matches the Rfam family "Bacterial small subunit ribosomal RNA", at positions 28 to 507 of the family's 1533-position model. The record is from RNAcentral.
GAUGAACGCUGGCGGCGUGCCUAAUACAUGCAAGUCGAGCGAACAGACGAGGAGCUUGCUCCUUUGACGUUAGCGGCGGACGGGUGAGUAACACGUAGGUAACCUACCUAUAAGACUGGGAUAACUUCGGGAAACCGGAGCUAAUACCGGAUAAUAUUUCGAACCGCAUGGUUCGAUAGUGAAAGAUGGCUUUGCUAUCACUUAUAGAUGGACCUGCGCCGUAUUAGCUAGUUGGUAAGGUAACGGCUUACCAAGGCAACGAUACGUAGCCGACCUGAGAGGGUGAUCGGCCACACUGGAACUGAGACACGGUCCAGACUCCUACGGGAGGAAGCAGUAGGGAAUCUUCCGCAAUGGGCGAAAGCCUGACGGAGCAACGCCGCGUGAGUGAUGAAGGUCUUCUGAUCGUAAAACUCUGUUAUUAGGGAAGAACAAACGUGUAAGUAACUGUGCACGUCUUGACGGUACCUAAUCAGAAAGCCCCGGCUAACUACGUG